GGAGAGAUGUCCGAGUCGGCCGAAGGAGCUCGCCUGCUAAGCGAGUAUACGAGCUUAAACUUGUAUCGAGGGUUCAAAUCCCUCUCUCUCCGCCA
This 95-nucleotide transfer RNA is filed under the name Desulfovibrionaceae bacterium. Its description in RNAcentral is "tRNA-Ser". It matches the Rfam family "tRNA". From Rfam's summary of the family: Transfer RNA (tRNA) molecules are approximately 80 nucleotides in length. Their secondary structure includes four short double-helical elements and three loops (D, anti-codon, and T loops). The record is from RNAcentral. RNAcentral also lists the same sequence under 1 other name. Lineage: Bacteria; Pseudomonadati; Thermodesulfobacteriota; Desulfovibrionia; Desulfovibrionales; Desulfovibrionaceae.